RNAcentral lists this ribosomal RNA (253 nucleotides) under uncultured bacterium. RNAcentral describes it as "partial 16S ribosomal RNA". It matches the Rfam family "Bacterial small subunit ribosomal RNA", at positions 524 to 776 of the family's 1533-position model. The record is from RNAcentral.
UACGUAGGGUGCAAGCGCUAAUCGGAAUUACUGGGUGUAAAGCGUGCGCAGGCGGUUUUGUAAGUCUGUCGUGAAAUCCCCGGGCUCAACCUGGGAAUUGCGAUGGAGACUGCAAGGCUAGAAUCUGGCAGAGGGGGGUAGAAUUCCACGUGUAGCAGUGAAAUGCGUAGAGAUGUGGAGGAACACCGAUGGCGAAGGCAACCCCCUGGGUCAAGAUUGACGCUCAUGCACGAAAGCGUGGGGAGCAAACAGG